RNAcentral lists this ribosomal RNA (473 nucleotides) under Aluterus scriptus (scrawled filefish). RNAcentral's name for it is "partial small subunit ribosomal RNA". It matches the Rfam family "Bacterial small subunit ribosomal RNA", at positions 788 to 1491 of the family's 1533-position model. The record is from RNAcentral. Lineage: Eukaryota; Metazoa; Chordata; Actinopteri; Tetraodontiformes; Monacanthidae.
CACUAUGCCUAGCCCUAAACAUUGAUAGCUAACUACAUUUCUAUCCGCCCGGGGACUACGAGCAUAAGCUUAAAACCCAAAGGACUUGGCGGUGCUUUAGAUCCACCUAGAGGAGCCUGUUCUAGAACCGAUAACCCCCGUUAAACCUCACCUUUUCUUGUUCUACCCGCCUAUAUACCACCGUCGUCAGCUUAUCCUGUGAAGGUCUACUAAUAAGCAGAAUUGGCACAGCCCAAAACGUCAGGUCGAGGUGUAGCGUACGAAAAGGGAAGAAAUGGGCUACAUUCUCUAUGCUAGAGAACACGAAUGAUAAACUGAAAAACGUAUCUGAAGGAGGAUUUAGUAGUAAGGAGGAAAUAGAGAGUCCUCCUGAAACUGGCCCUGAAGCGCGCACACACCGCCCGUCACUCUCCCCAAGCGCCCCUAUUUUAUUAAAUAAAACCUUUGAACUGCGAAGGGGAGGCAAGUCGUAA